Molecule: ribosomal RNA, 253 nt
Filed under: uncultured bacterium
Lineage: Bacteria
Description: partial 16S ribosomal RNA
Rfam family: Bacterial small subunit ribosomal RNA
Source: RNAcentral
UACGUAGGCAGCGAGCGUUGUUCGGAAUUACUGGGCGUAAAGAGCGUGUAGGCGGUUUGGUAGGUCCGCUGUGAAAACUCGAGGCUUAACCUCGAGAUGUCAUCGGAAACCAUCUGGCUAGAGUCCGGAAGAGGAAAGUGGAAUUCCUGGUGUAGCGGUGAAAUGCGCAGAUAUCGGGAAGAACACCCGUGGCGAAGGCGGCUCUCUGGGACGGUACUGACGCUGAGACGCGAAAGCGUGGGGAGCGAACAGG